AUUGAACGCUGGCGGCAUGCUUUACACAUGCAAGUCGAACGGUAACAGGCCGCAAGGUGCUGACGAGUGGCGAACGGGUGAGUAAUGCAUCGGAACGUGCCCAGUCGUGGGGGAUAACUACUCGAAAGAGUAGCUAAUACCGCAUACGAUCUAUGGAUGAAAGCGGGGGACCGUAAGGCCUCGCGCGAUUGGAGCGGCCGAUGUCAGAUUAGGUAGUUGGUGGGGUAAAGGCUCACCAAGCCAACGAUCUGUAACUGGUCUGAGAGGACAACCAGCCACACUGGGACUGAGACACGGCCCAGACUCCUACGGGAGGCAGCAGUGGGGAAUUUUGGACAAUGGGCGCAAGCCUGAUCCAGCAAUGCCGCGUGCAGGAAGAAGGCCUUCGGGUUGUAAAAUGCUUUUGUACGGAACGAAACGGCUCUGGUUAAUACCCGGGGCUAAUGACGGUACCGUAAGAAUAAGCACCGGCUAACUACGUG
RNAcentral lists this ribosomal RNA (482 nucleotides) under uncultured bacterium. RNAcentral's name for it is "partial 16S ribosomal RNA". It matches the Rfam family "Bacterial small subunit ribosomal RNA", at positions 30 to 507 of the family's 1533-position model. The record is from RNAcentral.